This is a long non-coding RNA of Alosa sapidissima (American shad), 89 nucleotides long. RefSeq lists it as uncharacterized. The record is from RefSeq and is a predicted model, not a curated record. Lineage: Eukaryota; Metazoa; Chordata; Actinopteri; Clupeiformes; Clupeidae. The transcript has 2 exons.
CACUUGCAUCAUGACGGGCACUAACUUUGAAAUUGUUGGAAACAAUGCAUGUGGGUCUACCUUUGCUGAAAAUAAAUUUCUGCAUAUUU